GCAGCAGUCGCCGCGGUAAUACGGAGGGUGCAAGCGUUGUCCGGAUUUAUUGGGUUUAAAGGGUGCGUAGGCGGCCUAAUAAGUCAGUGGUGAAAGCCUCCAGCUUAACUGGAGAACUGCCAUUGAUACUGUUAGGCUUGAGUAUACUUGAGGUAGGCGGAAUUGACAGUGUAGCGGUGAAAUGCAUAGAUAUUGUCAAGAACACCAAUUGCGAAGGCAGCUUACUAAAUUAUAACUGACGCUGAGGCACGAAAGUGUGGGUAUCAAACAGGAUUAGAUACCCCAGUAGUCCCUGUCUCUUAUAA
This 305-nucleotide ribosomal RNA is filed under the name uncultured bacterium. RNAcentral describes it as "partial 16S ribosomal RNA". It matches the Rfam family "Bacterial small subunit ribosomal RNA", at positions 505 to 809 of the family's 1533-position model. The record is from RNAcentral.